Molecule: ribosomal RNA, 284 nt
Filed under: [Lactobacillus] rogosae
Lineage: Bacteria; Bacillati; Bacillota; Clostridia; Lachnospirales; Lachnospiraceae
Description: Lactobacillus rogosae partial 16S ribosomal RNA
Rfam family: Bacterial small subunit ribosomal RNA
Source: RNAcentral
UCUUUUCAUUGUGUGCCAGCCGCCGCGGUAAUACGUAUGGAGCAAGCGUUAUCCGGAUUUACUGGGUGUAAAGGGAGUGUAGGUGGCCAGGCAAGUCAGAAGUGAAAGCCCGGGGCUCAACCCCGGGACUGCUUUUGAAACUGCAGGGCUAGAGUGCAGGAGGGGCAAGUGGAAUUCCUAGUGUAGCGGUGAAAUGCGUAGAUAUUAGGAGGAACACCAGUGGCGAAGGCGGCUUGCUGGACUGUAACUGACACUGAGGCUCGAAAGCGUGGGGAGCAAACAGG